Molecule: transfer RNA, 74 nt
Filed under: Pseudonocardia sp.
Lineage: Bacteria; Bacillati; Actinomycetota; Actinomycetes; Pseudonocardiales; Pseudonocardiaceae
Also listed under: 10 other names
Description: tRNA-Phe
Rfam family: tRNA
About the family: Transfer RNA (tRNA) molecules are approximately 80 nucleotides in length. Their secondary structure includes four short double-helical elements and three loops (D, anti-codon, and T loops). Further hydrogen bonds mediate the characteristic L-shaped molecular structure. tRNAs have two regions of fundamental functional importance: the anti-codon, which is responsible for specific mRNA codon recognition, and the 3' end, to which the tRNAs corresponding amino acid is attached (by aminoacyl-tRNA synthetases). tRNAs cope with the degeneracy of the genetic code in two manners: having more than one tRNA (with a specific anti-codon) for a particular amino acid; and 'wobble' base-pairing, i.e. permitting non-standard base-pairing at the 3rd anti-codon position.
Source: RNAcentral
GGCCAGGUAGCUCAGUCGGUACGAGCGUCCGCCUGAAAAGCGGAAGGUCGGCGGUUCGACCCCGCCCCUGGCCA